RNAcentral lists this ribosomal RNA (494 nucleotides) under uncultured bacterium. Its description in RNAcentral is "bacterial SSU rRNA". It matches the Rfam family "Bacterial small subunit ribosomal RNA", at positions 29 to 518 of the family's 1533-position model. The record is from RNAcentral.
AUGAACGCUAGCGACAGGCCUAACACAUGCAAGUCGAGGGCAGCACAAGGAGCAAUCUGAGGUGGCGACCGGCGCACGGGUGAGUAACACGUAUGCAACCUGCCUGUAAGCGGGGAAUAACCCGUUGAAAGACGGACUAAUACCGCAUAAUACUAAAUUACUGCAUGGUAAUUUAUUUAAACAUUUAUGGCUUACAGAUGGGCAUGCGCAUGAUUAGCUAGUUGGAGAGGUAACGGCUCCCCAAGGCAACGAUCAUUAGGGGUUCUGAGAGGAAGGUCCCCCCACACUGGUACUGAGACACGGACCAGACUCCUACGGGAGGCAGCAGUGAGGAAUAUUGGUCAAUGGACGAGAGUCUGAACCAGCCAAGUCGCGUGCAGGAAGAAUGUCCUAUGGAUUGUAAACUGCUUUUGCAGGGGAAUAAAGUGCAUCACGUGUGAUGUUUUGUAUGUACUCUGCGAAUAAGGAUCGGCUAACUCCGUGCCAGCCGCGGC